This 454-nucleotide ribosomal RNA is filed under the name uncultured Porphyromonas sp. RNAcentral's name for it is "partial 16S ribosomal RNA". It matches the Rfam family "Bacterial small subunit ribosomal RNA", at positions 341 to 792 of the family's 1533-position model. The record is from RNAcentral. Lineage: Bacteria; Pseudomonadati; Bacteroidota; Bacteroidia; Bacteroidales; Porphyromonadaceae.
ACGGAAGGCAGCAGUGAGGAAUAUUGGUCAAUGGAGGCAACUCUGAACCAGCCAAGUCGCGUGAAGGAAGAAGGCCCUACGGGUCGUAAACUUCUUUUGCAGGGGGAUAAAGUCGGCCACGCGUGGCCGUUUGCAAGUACCCUGUGAAUAAGCAUCGGCUAACUCCGUGCCAGCAGCCGCGGUAAUACGGAGGAUGCGAGCGUUAUCCGGAUUUAUUGGGUUUAAAGGGUGCGCAGGCGGGCUGUUAAGUCAGCGGUGAAAUCUCCGGGCUCAACUCGGAAACUGCCGUUGAUACUGGCGGUCUUGAUUCAUGUCGAGGAUGGCGGAAUGCAGCGUGUAGCGGUGAAAUGCUUAGAUAUGCUGCAGAACUCCGAUUGCGAAGGCAGCUGUCCAGAGAUGUACUGACGCUGAGGCACGAAAGCAUGGGUAUCAAACAGGAUUAGAUACCCUGGUA